This 4010-nucleotide long non-coding RNA is filed under the name Salvia miltiorrhiza (redroot sage). RNAcentral describes it as "long non-coding RNA (SMIL_LNC007386)". Lineage: Eukaryota; Viridiplantae; Streptophyta; Magnoliopsida; Lamiales; Lamiaceae. The record is from RNAcentral.
UUUUCCUAUGAUAAAUUUAUCUAUCAAAAUAAACGCACCCUUAAUAGUAAAAUACUAAGUUCUUGUUUGCAUCAAAUAAAAGAAUUAAAAGGAAAUAAAAGGGAUGAACAAUAAUAAUAACCGUUACUUUUAUUAAAUGUUUGGUUCAACAAUGAAAACGAAUCACUAAUAAGAAAUUUCCUUUCUUUUAUUUUUUCUUUAUUUUGAUGAAUGACAAAUUAGGUAAUUGAGUUACCCUCAGAUAAUUCGGAUACAAAGAUGACUUAAUACAAUACUUGAAUUUUGGAUAGUGAUGAUGCUAUAUAGUUUGAUUUCUCAUCUUUAAAAUACUCCUCAUCCGUCCCACUUCAAAUGACCUAAAAAAAUUAGACACGGAAAUUAAGAAAUAUGUAAUAAAGAUGUAAAGUGGUGAUGGGACAACUAAAAAAAUAAUGUUAAAUAUUCAAUUUUAUUUCUAAAUUUAGAUUGAUUCAUUUGAAGUAGGACAACCCAAAAUAAAAAUUGGAUCAUUUGAAAUGAAAUGGAGGAAGUACAAUUUACAAGUUUGUUAUUAUAGAUUAUUAUGGGGAGAUAUCUGGUCAGAUUUGCAGUCUAGAGAAGUCAAGGAUUUUCUAUUCAGAGAAGGUUACUCAUGGGAUGCGUAGGGGCAUUGAUCGUGUGCUUGGCUUUGUUACUGGGUGUAUGCCGGUAACGUAUUUGGGGUGCUCCGUUGUUUGCGGGCUGCCCAAGAGCUCCUUAUUCCAGGGACAUCAAGAACAGAAUUGUUCAGAAGUUCUCAAAAUGGAAGGGUAAUCAGCUUUCGAUGGCGGGUCGUCUCUGCUUGGUGAAAUCUGUAAUUCAGAGCUCUAUCAUUCACUCCAUGAUGGUCUUUAGAUGGCCUAAGGCGUUACUUAAGGAGCUGGACAGGUGCUGUCGCAAUUUUAAAUGGUCUGGUCAAAUUGAUAAACUACCGUCUUGUGCUGUGAGCUGGAGUCGUUGUAUUGCAAUUAAAAAGGAAGGCGGGUUGGGCAUUCUUUCUUUCACCAAUAUGAACAAAAGUUACCUGAUGAAACUCGCUUGGAGGCUGGUGAAGGGGAUCGAUUUUGGGCCUGCUAUUCUUCGUUCUCGAUAUCUCAAUGACUUUGGCUGUGCUAAGCCAAAUGUCACUAGUUUCUCGGUGUGGAUUGGUUUGAAAGAGGAAAUUAAUGCCCUUAUAUAGGAUUCUUACUCGCUGGUGGGCAGUGGAGAGCACACCCGUUUCUGGAUUGAUGAUUGGCUUGGUUACAAAAUUUGUGACAAUAUGGCCAUUCCUGCAUUUAUGCAUGAGUUCUUGCAGCACUCGGUUGCGGAUUAUUUCUAUGAUGGUGUUUGGCAUUUCUCGGCAAAUUUCGUCUCUAGCUUCCCUAUUUAGCUUGUGAUAUUCUCAUUUAUCCCAUUGGGCUGGAGGAGGACGCGCAUUUCUGGAAGCCGUCUAUUAAAGGUGAUGUAACUGCUGCUUUGGCCUUCUCUAAGAAUGGUCAUCGUUUUCCCAAGGUCAGUUGGGGUACUUGGAUUUGGGAAAACUUCAUUCCGGUCUGGCAUUCGAUUGUUAGUUGGCGUAUUCUCCAUAAUAGAUUGCCCACUAUGGAUCGUCUCAGGAGGCAAGGAUUUAUUGGUCCUAAUAUCUGUUGUGUGUGCAUGGCUGCAGAUGAGUCCCAAGAUCACACUCUUUGGUUGUGCCUUGAGGUCUCUAUGAUUUGGAAAGAGUUAUUAGAUUGGUUCGGCAAGCUUCAUCUUUUAAAUGCCUUGGAUCUCCAUAGCUUUCUUGUGCAAGUUUGGAAUGUUGAUUUUAAUCCGCUAUUGCGGAACUAUUGGAAGGUGGGAAUUAUCACGCUAUUGUGGUUGAUUUGGAAGGCUAGAAAUGAGAUUGUCUUCGAUAACAGAAGGUUUGAGGCUCGAGGCAUCAUCAAGCAGUUGAAGGUGGCCUUCAAAGAAGUGGACAGUUCUUUUUCAAAGUUAGGUCAUAUGUAUAACAUUUGGAGUGACUACACGACUUUGAGGGUGAUCGGGGUUGCUACUCGCUCGGCGCCGCCGCCGGAGUUCAUAAAUGUUCAUUGGUGGCCUCCUGCUUCGGGAUGGAUUAAGGUUAACACGGAUAGCUCUGCGCUGGGGUCUCCUGGCAGCAUUGGCGCGGGUGCGGUGUUUCGUGAUUGUAUGGGUACGGUUCGAGGUUGUUUUCAUGUGAAAGGCGAAGAUGGAUACGCUUUCGAAGCUGAGUUGCUUGCUAUUAUCACUGCGAUUGAUAUCGCUCACGCGAAAGGUUGGUGAGAUUUAUGGAUUGAAGCGGAUUCUAUCUAUGUUGUCAAGCUAGUGGAAGUCGUUCCUUGGACGUGCCUUGCACUAUCGGUUUUUUGGAAAGCCACUCUUCUCCAUCUGGCUGACAUGCAAUUCAAGUUUGUCACAUCUACCGUGAAGUAAUGUUGCAGCGGACAUUAUGGCGAAUCAAGCUAGAAGUGAAGGUUGGUGGUCAUAUGCUAUUGAUGAGAUUCAACGAGCGGUGGUGGAGGAUCUUUCUUCUCAUAGUUUUAUUCGCCAAUGCUAGAAGUGUGCGGUUUAGUGACGCCGAGGUUUUUUCCAACUUGCUGGUGCGCUGGCAGUUAGGCCUUAGGGGUCGGGUAACGUUGGUUGCUCUGUAACUUAUCUUCGUUUGGAUAGGUUGGCGUUGAGUUUUUGGAGUCUGCUUUUUCUCGGCAGAUUGCAUGGGAUCCUUUGCGAUCCUGGUAAAGUGGGCUGGUCGGAUCAGUGUUGAGCCCAGCCCCUUUGGCGCGCUUUGCUCGGCCCGCUUCUUGGGCCGUUUUCUUUCUUGGUUCGUGCGACUAGGGACGGCGUAGUAUUUUGAGGGCCGAUGGUCAGGUCGGAGCUCUUUGGGAUAUUAUGCUGUUCUUAGUCGUUUUGGGUGUCGGUCUUGGGGCGAUGGUUAGUCCGGAGCUCUUGGAUUCGGUGCCCUUUUUGUUGCCUCUUAGACGGGCACUCUUUUUCCUCUGCAAGGUUUUUCCCUUUGGGUUUUCUUUGCAGAGGUUUUAACGAGGUUCAGCCCUUAGUUUGCUUCACUUUGUGCUCUAAAGGGUUUUCUUAGGUUUUUUUUCUCUUUUUCUUAAUAUAUAAUCGUAUUUAAUCAAUUAGUCUCAUCAUGUUUUUAAUCAAUUAUUCUUAGUCAAUUUAAGCAUUUAAUAUAUAAAUCACAAAGUCCCAAUUUUAGCAAACUAACUUCUUUGAAAAUCUUUAAUCAUGCUUAAAUCACCAAUCAAACUUUAAAAUUAUCAAAUUAGAUCACUUAAUUACACAAAUAACUCAUCACUUAACAAAUUGAAGCAUAGAAGCAAAUAUACCUAAUUCUCAUCUAACUAACUCACAUCCAAAUUCAUCAAUCCAUCUCAAUCAUCAAUUUAAUCCAUCAAACAUCACAUUAGCAACCUCAUAAGCUCAUAUCCAUCAUCAACUCAUCAUUAAAUCCACAAAUUCAAAAAUCCCCAAAAAUAGCUAAACUAAACUAACUCAAAAUCCAUAAUUCAUUUUAAAUCCAUUCUUUACACAUGGAAAUGAUCUCAAUAGACCCCAAAUAGCAUAAAUAUCACUCCAAUUCAAGAAAAGGAAGAGAAAAAUUUUUGAAGGGUAAAACCCUAUUUUUUUCGAAAAUUAUAAAAAAAAAAAAAAAAAAAGAUGUUUUCUUGCUUGAUCUAUCCAUAUACGCUCAUGUAUAGCUCAAAUAAGUCUAGAUCUAGAAGGAUUUUACACUUACUCAAGAGUUUGAUUGAAAAUUAAAAAUCUCCUUUGAACUCAAUCUUGGGAAACUCCUCCAAUCUCUUCUUGAUUCAAAGAAAAUGAGGUUUAAACAUGAUUUUAGUGGUAAUCUAUGGUGUAGAUUUGAUCAUAAAAGCUUGGAAAUUGUCUAACAAUGGUGGAAGAAAGAGAAAAGAGAGAGAGAAGAGAGAGUGGUGAGAGGCGUGAGGUUUGGGGAGGAGGAAAGAGAAAAAAAAUUAUUUUAUUUAAGU